Sebastes umbrosus (honeycomb rockfish) is the source of this 1723-nucleotide long non-coding RNA. RefSeq lists it as uncharacterized. NCBI's taxonomy places the organism in Eukaryota, Metazoa, Chordata, Actinopteri, Perciformes, Sebastidae. The transcript is spliced from 4 exons. The record is from RefSeq and is a predicted model, not a curated record.
UUGAUUGCAAGAUCGAGCUGCGGGCAGUGAAUUGACCUCUUGGCUGACGAUGAUGAUGAUGUUGAAGAUGGCAUCAAGGGCUGUCUCAGGAGCAACUGAAGCACCACCGUACUGAACAGCCAAUCAGAGUGAUUUCCCCCAACGACGAGCUCUGCAGCCAAUUCAACACGCUGAAUCGGCUGAGAAGCCUUCGACAUGGGCAGAUUAGAGCAGACGGCGCGGGACACACCGAAAAAACUAAGCUGACAGACGCUCACCUUGAUGUGUCAGAGCCUUAAGAGUCUUGAAUGGAGCCUGGAGAAAACAUUUUGCUUGGGUUUACCCUUCUAGCCUGAGGUUUGGGAGACGUGCUGUUCUGCCCGACCGCAGUGUGUUUACAAGCCACAGUCAGCCAAAAUCUACUCAGUAUGGGAGAAAUGACUCAAUCCUCAUUGUGAGUCAUUCCUGCCUGCAGGAGGAAAUGUGAUCGAGUCACCACGGCAACUGAACCCAGGGAUGCACACAGGUUUCAUAAAUUAAAGUCAAGGGGUUAUAUGAAAGGAAUCCUUCAAUGUUUGAUUAGCAAUGUGUCAGAAACAUGAAGUAUAAUCCGCCACAUACUUCAGGCAUCUCACAAUGUCAAAGUAAUUGUAUAAUUGAAGAAUAUGAACAGCAAAUGCCACACAGUGCUGUGAGUUUGAACAUUUUGAGUGAAAUUCUGUCUCCAACCAAAUGUCUGAUUCAUCUAACUGUAAUUUCAACCGUUCAAAUUGUGUGUAAGUGAGUGAAUCAAAUGGCUCGUGUAUCCUUUUAAGCAUAUAUGAAACUGCUAUAAGAACAAUUUAGAGAUUUAGCAGCCGUCUGAGCAAUGAAAAGACAAAAUACCUGUGCUGAACGUGGGCAUAGCAUCUCAGUUUAGAUGGUGAGAUGCUCCCUCACCAGAGGUCUUAUUGUCCCGUCCUACCUGAUAUAUUCUCCCUAACCUCAGCUUCCCCGAGCAUGAAAUCAUUCGGGCAGAAUGAUAGGAUGUUUGGCUGUGGAGCAGUAGUGUGAUUUGUUUCUGUGCAGAUAAAUACAGCCUUGACUGUUGUCUCUGUAAUUGAGAACACUUUUCUAUUUCAAUUUCAAAGGGUGCGAGGCAGAAAAAUAAUCACACGGGGCGCAAAACCGGAUCAGCAAUUCGCCUAAUUGCCUUGGAUAUCUUCGUUGCCAGUCUUAAAGAUAUGGAAAAAGAUUUUUGUUUUGAUACUGCUCUGCCAUCACAAACAAAUUAUACCUUUUUUGGUGCAUUUAGAAAUAUAGUUUCACAAUCACAACAGGGAAGAAACAAAGAUAGAAACACUAAUACAAAGUUAAAGUCAUCAAGGCUAAAGCUGCAAAACAGUUUGAACAGCUGUUUUGUCAACGUCUUGCUGUGCUAAGUCUUUGUUCACGCAACAUUUAGGUUAUAAUUUCACAAUGUUUUAUGUUUUUAACCGGCUUUCUCAAAAACACCUCAUUUAAAAACUUUGAGUAACACAUGUAACGUUAGUGAAAUGAGAGAUAACCCAUGAAGAUAACUUAGCAGAAUGGCUAAUGUUGCACUGGUGACCCACCUAUUUUAUUCGCUAUGUAACAUUAUACAGAUCUUGAAAUUCUCAAUUGGCUGUUAGUUAGAAGGUUAAUGAAUUGGCUAGCUAAUAGUUAGCCUUAACUGACAUUUGACACAUAGCUUGUGUUGAAAUGCUCAUGAUAAAGAAACAGA